AGUGCGGGUAGGAGGACGCCGGUGGCCACAAUGAGGCGAAGUAGUGAGCGGGUCGGGAUGUGCUGGGCGGCGCGGCAACAGGGUGACGCGCUGCUCGGCCGUGAGUGCAGAAGCCCCUAAAGGCAGCAGGAGGCAGCGGCGGACCAACUCCAGGCAGUGAGUCAGUAAGUCACUGCUGUCACGUCCUCUAUUACCCACCUUGGUCACGCCGAGGGUGUCGCGGCGCACACCACACGUCCUGAGACUGCUGGAAAAUGAUAAGGUCCCCUUCAGGUUUCCUCGUGCACCAGAACACCAUCGUAAAGCUUGAGGGGAGGAUGGAUGGAGUCCGCGGCCCGGCACCCCUGCCAUCCGUGCCGCCCCUCCUGUUGCCGCCGCUGCCACCGCCAUCACCUCUGCCGCCACGCGAGAGUGAGUACGAGUAUCAUAAUAA
Scylla paramamosain (green mud crab) is the source of this 433-nucleotide long non-coding RNA. RefSeq lists it as uncharacterized. The transcript has 4 exons. NCBI's taxonomy places the organism in Eukaryota, Metazoa, Arthropoda, Malacostraca, Decapoda, Portunidae. The record is from RefSeq and is a predicted model, not a curated record.